RNAcentral lists this ribosomal RNA (551 nucleotides) under Leptogium hibernicum. Its description in RNAcentral is "LSU rRNA". It matches the Rfam family "Eukaryotic large subunit ribosomal RNA", at positions 72 to 628 of the family's 3401-position model. The record is from RNAcentral. Lineage: Eukaryota; Fungi; Ascomycota; Lecanoromycetes; Peltigerales; Collemataceae.
GGAUUGCCUCAGUAACGGCGUGUGAAGCGGCAGCAGCUCAAAUUUGAAAUCCGGCCCCCUCGGGGCCCGAGUUGUAAUUUGGAGAGGGUGCUUCGGGGCGCGCCGCCGGUCCGAGUGCCUUGGAACAGGCCGCCGUGGAGGGUGAGAGCCCCGUACGCGGCCGGCGGACCGUCCCCGCGCGAAGCCCUUUCGACGAGUCGAGUUGUUUGGGAAUGCAGCUCCAAGCGGGUGGUAAAUUCCAUCUAAAGCUAAAUACAGGCCGGAGACCGAUAGCGCACAAGUAGAGUGAUCGAAAGAUGAAAAGCACCUUGAAAAGGGGGUCAAACAGCACGUGAAAUUGCUGAGAGGGAAGCGCUGGCCCCCAGACCUGCUUCGCGGGCGAUCCCCGGCGGCCUCCGCGCCGCGGGGGCUCCACGCCCGCGUUCAGGCCAGCACGGGUCCGGGCGGCGGGACAAAGCGCCCGGGAAUGUAACUCCCUCCGGGGAGCCUUAUAGCCCAGGCGGUCAUGCCGCCCGCCCGGACCGAGGACCGCGCUGCGGCGAGGGUGCUGG